AUUCCAGCUCCAAUAGCGUAUAUUAAAGUUGUUGCAGUUAAAAAGCUCGUAGUUGGACUUCUGAUGUGGGACUGCGCCCCGGUAUUUUGCCGUUGGGUGCGGGCUCGCGUCUUCCUCUCGUAGUUGGAUGGUGCACUUAACUGGGUGCCUUCUGAAUAUGGGACCUUUACUUUGAAAAAAUUAGAGUGUUCAAAGCAGGCAAUCGCUUGAAUACAUUAGCAUGGAAUAAUAGAAUAGGACUUUGGUUCUAUUUUGUUGGUUUCUAGGACCGAGGUAAUGAUUAAUAGGGACAGUUGGGGGCAUUAGUAUUUAAUUGUCAGAGGUGAAAUUCUUGGAUUUAUGAAAGACUAACUACUGCGAAAGCAUUUGCCAAGGAUGUUUUCAUCA
Molecule: ribosomal RNA, 387 nt
Filed under: Choanoflagellata sp.
Lineage: Eukaryota; Choanoflagellata
Description: partial small subunit ribosomal RNA
Rfam family: Eukaryotic small subunit ribosomal RNA
Source: RNAcentral